Molecule: long non-coding RNA, 4167 nt
Organism: Acanthopagrus latus (yellowfin seabream)
Lineage: Eukaryota; Metazoa; Chordata; Actinopteri; Spariformes; Sparidae
Exons: 2
Source: RefSeq, a predicted model, not a curated record
CCCUCCUCCUCCUCUUCCUCCUCCUCCUCCUCCUCCUCCUCCUCCUCCAGCCUCAGGUGACAGGUGAAGCUGCAGGAGUCAGACCCUCGUCCUCAUCACGGAGAUCAGCUUCAUCUCAGCAGGUCAGCCGGCUCGAUAUACGAGAGAAACGACAAGCUAACAAACUAAAAUUCAGUCCUUAUCUCCUCACCAGCUGUAUUUAUAUAUUUUAAGAAAUUAAUAACAAACAAUACCAGAUAAAAAGUGUUCAGUGUUUUUUGUCGAAUGUGCUCAUAUUUUUGCUUUAACUCCUGUGAGACUUAACAACACUGUGAAGUAAAUCAGACUAGUGGUUAUAAAAUAAAGGAGGUUGUUGUCUCAUAUUGAGUAAUCACUGCGACGCAGGGAGCUCGUUAGCUCGUUAGCAUCCCGUCACUGGCUGCAGUCCCCCAGUAAACUUCCUCCCUCCCGACUGCCUGCUCAGGAUGUUCCUUCUUCUCCAGAGCUGAACUUCACAUCUCAGAGCAGCUCACCUGACUGAAGAACUGAACGUGAGCUAGCUGAUCUUAAUCUGUGUGAACUUUCACUUCUUCUUAUGAGAUAAAUAACUUCAUACUGAAAGAGGACACAGUGAGUUUAUGUCUGAAGAACUCUGCCUGUGUUGUUCUGGGUUUCAAGGAAAUUAGAAGAGUGUAAAAGCUCAGAUGAGCCAAGUUUACAUAGAGAUCAUAUGAAAACCAGCAGUUUCACUGGUCUGACUGGGACUGAGGAUCCAGCAGUCCGUCUUAAAUACCUCGACUUAAGGUGGAACUGCUCUGUUGAGCAAGUCCUGCUGAAAACAGGUGAAGGUGCCAUUAAAAUGCAGCUGUUGUCCCCUUCAAUUACAGCCCGCCGAGCCUCGGCUGAUUGGCGGCCCGGCCGGCGGAGGUCACGGCUCCAGCGGGGCACCUGGGGGCUAAUCACAGACCCGGUGAGCAGAGGAGGGCCCGGUUCUUCAGCUGACGGCCAGUGAGUUUAUGGCCUUCUCUGAAAACAGAAGCCGGCUCAUUACUCACAUAGCUGCUUCAGUCCUCCCAACAAACAUUUACCUGACCUGCAGCCUGAACGCCUCGUCCACAGCUUCAUCUCAAACCAUCCUACAGAUGAAACGAGAAGUGAUGAAUGUUUAAUAAAACAACAGAUCUGAUCCGAUCUGUGAAUCGUCUCUUCAUCAGCUCGUCUGAAUGAACCCCUGGAACCUCAGACGGACUCUGGGACCUCCUGCCGUCUUCAGUCUGUUUAUGAUGCAGCGGGAGGAAUCGUCCCUGAACUGAAGGCCGCGGCGUGUCAUGGUUACGACACUCCCAAUCAAUCUAUCUGCCGCCGCUUACAUUUACAGUAAAGGAGGAGAAACCCGACGGCAGCCCCGGCACACAAUGGAGGACAUUUACAGCAGGUUUCCUCUUUAUGGCUGCGUGUUUGUGAGCUGUGACGAGGAGGGAAUAUUUAACAGGAUGCCUCCACAGAGACGCUGUGUUGACAGUAAACGAGUGGGAGAGUCCUGUGAGGAUUCGGGACCUCCGGUGGACCUUUGCUUUGUUAAUAAGGCUGUCAGACGACGCUGAGGGCGGCAGCGUUAACACAGCAAACCCCACAGGCCAGAGAGGACGGCAGCCAAACAAGAGCUCACAGGCUGAUCAGCGGCAGGGGAGUCACCCAGGAGGACAGUGUGAAUGUAUAAUCCACAUAUUAAUGCACAUACUUUUUAAAAAAUGGACUUACAACCACACUGUAUGUAGAUGAGUUAAAGGAACAGUUCACCCAACUAUGAAGUCUCAGUCACCCUCUCCUCCCUUCUGAUGAUAUAAAGCCUGACGAAGUCAGAAGCAGCAUUCUGCCCAACAACUGAACUAGCUGGAGACUUGAUUUAAAACAGAGAAACAACCAGAACGCCAUUAAAACUUUGCAGAAUUAGCUGUUAGUGCUUCCUGUUAGCAGUGAACUCAUGGAUGUACAGACAACUAUCACUGGAUCACUGUGAGACUGAAGAAAACUUAAAACAUGAUGUUUCUAAAGGGAGUUCUGCACAUGUGAGGAGAGACUUUGUUGUGUAUUUGCGAUGGACCUCAAAAUUAUAUAAUCUAAAAACCAGAGAAACAGUAAUUUUGAAGCUGAAGCCUUCGUAUUCACUACAGUUGCUAAGCUAAAGGUGUUAGCAUGCACCUGGUCUGAGGGGUGCUCACCUGGGACGAGGUCUGGUUAUCUUUCACCACAAGGAAAAGGUCACCGUCACCGUCUUUACAUGGUAGGAAACACAGAUCAUAUACUGACAUUUCAUUCACUUGCUGUGUUUCCUCGUGUUUUCAGUCUGUAUGCUAAGCUAAGCUAAGCUAAGCUAACCCAGAGUCGUUGCAGGGGUCAGUUUCUUGCAGUUUCUCUGGUUGUUUCAGCUCAUGUCUGUACGUUCAGGGAGUCGAGCCGCCGUCUCUUUAGCUGCAGCUGAACCGUCGUGACUUUAAAACUAUUCCACUUUUAAAAAACGUCCUGGAGCUGAACUCUGAAUCUGUAACCAGCUGACGGGAUGAUAAGUGUGUGUGCUGAAUAUGACACAGAUACAUACACAUAUACGUUCAUGCAUAUAUGUAUGUACAUAACAUUUAAACAAGAUUCAGCAGGAAACAAAGGCGCUGGGAGCUGUGUGUGUGUGUGUGUGUGUGUGUGUGUGUGUGUGUGUGUGUGUGUGUGUGUCUCUCCCUCUCCUCAGGGACCACAACUGGAGCAACAAACCUCAGCGCGCCGUCUUCCUGCUCGGGGGCUUCUUCCUUGUGCGAGGAAGGCGGUGGCCCGGACACUUUGUGAAUAAUUCGAUUAAGGACGAGGACGAGCAGAAAAGGUGACGGAGUUUAUUCCGCUGUGUGAACCCACCUGGACAGAGACAGACGGAACCGACAAGGACACAAACACGGAGCUCCAGCUGCACACUUGGCAGCCUGUCCCUUCACUCCUGUUUGACCUCUGUUUCCAUCACUCUCCCUCUUCACCUCCUCCUCCAUCAGCAGCUUCUUCUUCUUCUGUUACACUUAUUCCGGUUGCUCCUCUGACAGCUGUGGACGGUGACCGGGGAGAACGAAGCCCACUUCCUGGUUUGGUUUGUUUCAACGUUCGUCUAGCAGGAGAAAUCCAGCCUGGUGUCAGACUGAGUGUCAGUGAGGUUUAUACUGGAACACUCUGUCAGAGGAUGAUGUCAUUAUUCUACAGCCGUCACACUGUGACAUCACUGUGACAUCACUGUGACAUCACUGUGACAUCAGGACUUACUGCACAGUGAGAAGUUAAAGUCCUCAGUGUUUCUGUUGUAAAAUGAAUGUGAACGUUUAAACACUCAGACAAAACACGACAUCUGAAGACCAACAAGUAAUCGAUUACUUUAGGAAGUAACUGUGAGUGAAUGUAAACUUGUUCAACAGGAAUUCACAGGAAGCAGCUCGACUGACAAACACAGAAGAUCAGCUGAAGAUUAAUGUGUGUGUGUGUGUGUGUGUGUGUGUGUGUGUGUGUGUGUGUGUGUGUGUGUGUGUGUGGCUGUGUGUGUGUUGGGGGGUGGAGUCCUUGGGGACCUCCUUUGGGAAGUGGGUCAACCGCUUGGCAGGGCAGGCCGGCUCGUUAGCAUGGAGUGUAAACACACACGCACACACACACAUACACGCACACACACACCUUGUCUGUGCCAAGGAGCUGCUAAUUAGCCUGUGUGUAAUUUUCAUUGUUGCCAAUUACAGCCGGAGGAGCUGAGGUGUGUGUGUGUGUGUGUGUGUGUGUGUGUGUGUGUGUGUGUGUGUGUGUGUGUGUGUGUUAAUUUGUUAAUUCGUCUGUGUGUUUCUUCAUCAUCAUCUUGUUUGUUCACUCUCAUGAAUCCAGAAGAUGUUGUUUGACACACACGCACACACACACACACACACACACACACACACACUGACUUAUAUUCCCUGAACUCAGACCCAGUGAUGGAAUGUAACUAAUUACAUUUACUCUUUUCUUUUAUUUGAGUUUUUGUUCAUUUUCUGCUACUUUCUACUUUCACUUCCAGACAAAUGUGGUUCUUUAAAUGUUAUUGAACCAGUGACACAACAUCACCAGACUCCAUUAACAAAUCACCUGUUUUAAGAGUUGUUUCAUGAGGCGAGACUUAAUAAACAUUAUGAAACUGUG